Molecule: ribosomal RNA, 465 nt
Filed under: Vreelandella stevensii
Lineage: Bacteria; Pseudomonadati; Pseudomonadota; Gammaproteobacteria; Oceanospirillales; Halomonadaceae
Description: partial 16S ribosomal RNA
Rfam family: Bacterial small subunit ribosomal RNA
Source: RNAcentral
CCUACGGGGGGCAGCAGUGGGGAAUAUUGGACAAUGGGGGCAACCCUGAUCCAGCCAUGCCGCGUGUGUGAAGAAGGCCCUCGGGUUGUAAAGCACUUUCAGUGAGGAAGAACGCCUGGUGGUUAAUACCCAUCAGGAAAGACAUCACUCACAGAAGAAGCACCGGCUAACUCCGUGCCAGCAGCCGCGGUAAUACGGAGGGUGCGAGCGUUAAUCGGAAUUACUGGGCGUAAAGCGCGCGUAGGUGGCUUGAUAAGCCGGUUGUGAAAGCCCCAGGCUCAACCUGGGAACGGCAUCCGGAACUGUCAAGCUAGAGUGCAGGAGAGGAAGGUAGAAUUCCCGGUGUAGCGGUGAAAUGCGUAGAGAUCGGGAGGAAUACCAGUGGCGAAGGCGGCCUUCUGGACUGACACUGACACUGAGGUGCGAAAGCGUGGGUAGCAAACAGGAUUAGAUACCCCGGUAGUC